This 1655-nucleotide long non-coding RNA is filed under the name Serinus canaria (Common canary). RNAcentral describes it as "lncRNA (ENSSCAG00000007817.1)". Lineage: Eukaryota; Metazoa; Chordata; Aves; Passeriformes; Fringillidae. The record is from RNAcentral.
AGGGCCCGGAGUCACCUCAGCCCAGGACAAGGACAUUCCCACCCAAAAUCCUGGGAUUCUGUAAAGAGACACCUCCGGCACCCAGCCCCACCCAGGGCCCGGAGUCACCUCAGCCCAGGACAAGGACAUUCCUACCCAAAAUCCUGGGAUUCUGGGGAAGGACAUCUCAGCACCUGAUCCAACCAAGUGGCUGGAGUUACCUCAGCCUCAAGAAAACACCUUCCCACCCAAAAUCCUGGGAUUCUCUAAAGACACCUCCAGAACCCGAUCCAACCAAGGGCCUGGUCCUGCCCAGGGUCACCACAGCCUCAGAAAAAGGACACUCCCACCCAAAAUCCUGGGAUCUGUGACAGGGACUGCAGCAACCACAGCUGACCCAACCAUGUGUCUUAUCCUGCUCGGGGUCACCUCAACCCCAGGAAAACACCUUUCCACCCAAAAUCCCAGGAUUCUGUGGCAAGGGCACCUUCAGAACCCAAUCCAAUCAAAGGCAUAGUCCUAUCCAUGGUAAAGCCCCAGGAAAAGGACAUUCCCACCCAAAAUCCUGGGAUUCUGUAAAAGGGACACCUCCAGAACCCAAUCCAACCAAGGGCCUUGAGUCACCUCAAGCCCAGGAAAAGGACAUUCCCAUCCAAAAUCCUGGGAUUCUGUAAAAGGGACACCUCCAGAACCUGAACCAACCAAGGGCCUGGUCCUGCCCAGGGUCACCUCAGCCCCAGGGAAAGGACCCAGGGUGGCUCUAAUCCCAGCGAGGGACAGGAUGAGAGGAAAUGGCCUCGAGUUGCAGCAGGGAAGGUUUAGGCUGGAUAUUGGGAAAAUUCCUCCUGGAAAGGGCUCCCCAGGCCUGGCACAGGCUGGAGUCCCCAACCCCCAGAGGGAUUUCAAAGCUGUGUGGAUGUGGCACGCGGGGACAUGGGCAGUGGUGGCCCUGGCAGUGCUGGGGACGGUUGGACUCCAUGAUCUCCAUGUUCCCAACCAGACCAACUGCACCAUUCCCUGCUCCUGCCCUCUGCUGCCCCUUGGGCCUGGCAGGAGGAGCUCCAGGGGCAACUCCUUGGCAGGAAAAACUGGGCCUUGGGCCUCCAUGAGCUCAGACCCCCUUCCCAACCCCGACUCUGUGUCCCCACCCUUGGCUCAGUGUCCAGCUGUGCCCAGCCCAGGCUCUGUGUCCAGCUGUGCCCACUCCUGUGCCAUGAACAGAGCCUAUCCAGCUGUGCCCAGCCAUGGCCAGCCAAGACUCUGUGCCCAUUCCCGUGCCCAGCCCAGACUCUGUGUCCAGCUGUGCCCAUUCCCGUGCCCAGCCCAGACUCUGUGUCCAGCUGUGCCCAGCCGAGACUCACGGUCCAGCCGUGCCCCCACCCGUGCCCAGCCCAGACUCUGUGUCCAGCUGUGCCCAGCCCAGAUUCACGGUCCAGCCGUGCCCCCUCCCGUGCCCAGCCAAGACUCACAGUCCAGCUGUGCCCAUUCCCGUGCCCAGCCCAGACUCUGUCGUCCAGCUGUGCCCAUUCCCGUGCCCAGCCCAGACUCACGGUCCAGNNGUGCCCGUCGUAGCUGCCCUCCAGGAUGACCUCGGGCCGGCCGCCCACGCCGGUCAUCCUGCGGAAGAGCCCGUAGGAAUUGACCACCUGGAAGCGCUCCACGGCCCCGAACAUCUG